CGCUGCUGCGUGUUGUCUGUUUAAAACUUGGGCUUCACCCGGAAGUUGGAGCAUAACAUUGUGCGUGCAUGUAAAAACAAACAAUACAGAAUAGUUGAAAUAAGUGUAUCUUCUGUGUUUGGCAGCAGAGUGCAGGAGCUAGUUCACCAUGAGAGGAACAGCUAAAGGAAAGGUGGUGACGUCAGGGAGGCUGACCGGAGGAGGCAGAGUGCAGCACUCCAGGAGACGCACUCCCUCAAACCCAGGAGCAGCAGUCUGCGCUGAGCCAGCAUAUUCCCUAUACUCCACAGACUCUGAGGACCAGGUCACCACUCUGCACCGGGGGCUGGACCGCUGUGCUGCCUUGCUCGGGGGCAUGCUUCAGGCUGAGAAGGCAGG
This is a long non-coding RNA of Notothenia coriiceps (black rockcod), 378 nucleotides long. RefSeq lists it as uncharacterized. The transcript is spliced from 4 exons. NCBI's taxonomy places the organism in Eukaryota, Metazoa, Chordata, Actinopteri, Perciformes, Nototheniidae. The record is from RefSeq and is a predicted model, not a curated record.